CCAUCACUCGCUCCAGUCUCCGCCUCUCCUCGCCGUCGUUUCCGCCCCUACCUUCCUCCAAAUCGCCGAUCGCGUUUAUGACCUCCUCCACGGUAGAGUUAGAAUGAUAUGCUAAGUAGAGAGAGGCGUAAUUCUAGGGAAUUUCAUUAACAUAGAGCCCUUGGAAUAGUAUAACAACAAGAUUUUCUCUUGCUGAGCAGCAAAAAUGGCUUUGGCUUCUUUUGUAAAAGUGGUUCUAGGCUCAAUUGCUUUUGCAAUCUUCUGGGUAUUGGCGGUUUUCCCAGCUGUUCCUUAUUUGUAAAAGUGGUUCUAGGCUCAAUUUUUUUUUAAUUCUUAUAUGUUUUAAAAAUGUGAGAUGAUGAGAUUUCUUAUAUGGUGAAGGAGCUAUUUGUCAACUCAAAGUUAUAAACUUCUUAUGCUUUCUUCUCUUAUUUGCAAUCUUUAUGUUUUGAUAUAUGAAUGCGUUUUAAGAUUGGUUA
Molecule: long non-coding RNA, 479 nt
Organism: Quercus robur (English oak)
Lineage: Eukaryota; Viridiplantae; Streptophyta; Magnoliopsida; Fagales; Fagaceae
Exons: 2
Source: RefSeq, a predicted model, not a curated record